GUGAACAUACCUAUACGUUGCCUCGGCGGAUCAGCCCGCGCCCCGUAAAACGGGACGGCCCGCCGCAGGACCCACAAACCCUGAAUUUUAUUGUAACUUCUGAGUUUAAAAAACAAAUAAAUCAAAACUUUCAACAACGGAUCUCUUGGUUCUGGCAUCGAUGAAGAACGCAGCAAAAUGCGAUAAGUAAUGUGAAUUGCAGAAUUCAGUGAAUCAUCGAAUCUUUGAACGCACAUUGCGCCCGCCAGUAUUCUGGCGGGCAUGCCUGUUCGAGCGUCAUUUCAACCCUCAAGCCCCCGGGUUUGGUGUUGGGGAUCGGGCUGCGGUUCUACCGCGUCCCGGCCCCGAAAUCUAGUGGCGGUCUCGCUGCAGCCUCCAUUGCGUAGUAGCUAACACCUCGCAACUGGAACGCGGCGCGGCCAAGCCGUUAAACCCCCAACUUUCUGAAUGUUGACCUCGGAUCAGGUAGGAAUACCCG
This 478-nucleotide ribosomal RNA is filed under the name Fusarium chlamydosporum. RNAcentral's name for it is "eukaryotic LSU rRNA". The stretch from base 126 to 279 matches the Rfam family "5.8S ribosomal RNA". The record is from RNAcentral. Lineage: Eukaryota; Fungi; Ascomycota; Sordariomycetes; Hypocreales; Nectriaceae.